UUAAAAUCAUUCCUUUCCCUGAAAGUUUCUUGAUCUCAUCCAUGUCAGGAUCUACAGCAACAACUGCAUCCGCCGAGGGGAGAACAAUCUGCGAGAAAGACGCAGAAAUAAAGAAUACAUACAAAGAGAUCGCCCUUGGCCGUCCUGCUGAUCUCCACCACAGACGCCCCGUUCAAGCAUUUAGCAACUGCCGGUAUGUCGCCGGCGCAGUUGAUGUCAGAAACGGGGAUGAUCGGAAAGUCUAGCUCGACGUAGAAAGUGUUAUCGGCUGCUUGGUCGUCGGGUAACUUUCUGGCACACAAAACCCCAGAGAGUGUGGAGAACUCCACCGUCUCGGUUCUCACCAAACCAUUUGAGAAGAGAUGGUGCGCCGCCGCUACAGUGGCGUGCCCACAUAGCUCCACCUGCAACGUAACGCACCUUUACUCUUAAUCUCAAUGAAUCACACACCCAAAUGCACCAUAAUCAAACCAAUUAUAUCCUGGGCAACCGAACAAGUUGGUCUAGUUAUUGACUUCAAAUUAUAUCAUGAACCAUGAUUUACCUUGCAUGGUAAAUCCUGGUCCAAAAAUAAUAUUCAGAUUAUGUGUCCGUAGUUGAUACAUUAUGGCCUGCUGUUUGGUAAAUGGUUGUUAGCUGAUUGGGUUGGCUGUUUGGAA
Long non-coding RNA from Ipomoea triloba (trilobed morning glory), 659 nucleotides. RefSeq lists it as uncharacterized. The record is from RefSeq and is a predicted model, not a curated record. NCBI's taxonomy places the organism in Eukaryota, Viridiplantae, Streptophyta, Magnoliopsida, Solanales, Convolvulaceae. The transcript has 2 exons.